Molecule: small nucleolar RNA, 56 nt
Filed under: Danio rerio (zebrafish)
Lineage: Eukaryota; Metazoa; Chordata; Actinopteri; Cypriniformes; Danionidae
Description: Small nucleolar RNA SNORD63 (ENSDARG00000084148.2)
Source: RNAcentral
CAUUCUGAUCAACACAUCAUUCUGAAGGAUUUUAAAUGUUUAGAAUUAGUGUUUGA